This 492-nucleotide ribosomal RNA is filed under the name uncultured bacterium. RNAcentral describes it as "partial 16S ribosomal RNA". It matches the Rfam family "Bacterial small subunit ribosomal RNA", at positions 28 to 507 of the family's 1533-position model. The record is from RNAcentral.
GGUGAACGCUGGCGGUAGGCCUAACACAUGCGAGUCGAACGGCAGCACAGUAAGAGCUUGCUCUUACGGGUGGCGAGUGGCGGACGGGUGAGGAAUACAUCGGAAUCUACUUUUUCGUGGGGGAUAACGUAGGGAAACUUACGCUAAUACCGCAUACGACCUACGGGUGAAAGCAGGGGAUCUUCGGACCUUGCGCGAUUGAAUGAGCCGAUGUCGGAUUAGCUAGUUGGCGGGGUAAAGGCCCACCAAGGCGACGAUCCGUAGCUGGUCUGAGAGGAUGAUCAGCCACACUGGAACUGAGACACGGUCCAGACUCCUACGGGAGGCAGCAGUGGGGAAUAUUGGACAAUGGGCGCAAGCCUGAUCCAGCCAUACCGCGUGGGUGAAGAAGGCCUUCGGGUUGUAAAGCCCUUUUGUUGGGAAAGAAAAGCAGCAGGUUAAUACCCCGCUGUUCUGACGGUACCCAAAGAAUAAGCACCGGCUAACUUCGUG